CUAACAAGGAACGAAUCUAGCACAAUAGCCGACGUCUACGCAGGCCAAAGAGCCCAUUGAACAUAUCCAUCCGUAGUGAUCAGAACCACGUUCCUCGAGUAAGAUCCGGAUGGAACCGGAUUCGGAAAGCGCGAAUCCUGGUCCGCGCUUCCGGAGACCCGGGUCGAUUCAGCGUCGCGACGAUUCGGCCCAAUGCCACGAAAGCUCCUCGGAGCCAUGCGCGUUCGGGGGACGCGACGGGGACGGCAAUCGCUGUGUGUUAGCCUACAAUUAGAUACAGAGCUCGUUGCAGCGAUCGCGUCUCUCGCCGUCCUUACACAACGCAGGCGUUGCGUUGCGACGACGCUCUUCUUGUGCACCGGCGCUCCUCCACACCUACGCACCUACACACCUACACCUGCACACCGGUACCUACAUGGUGCUAAACCGCGCAGACUCGCGGAGGGAGUAGAGCGGUAUCAGCUCGAAUCAGCCCGAAGGGCCCCGGCAGUGUGUGCCUUCCUUUCGGUUACUUUCUGUUCCUUCCUAACGAAAACCAGACGCGCGAGGCCAAUCCGAGAGGCUCCAGAAUGAAGUACUCGCCGCAGCAGCAGCAGAAGGAGAGGAAAUCGGAGAGCGAUUUGGGAUCGGUGCAGGGAACGCCGGCCCGGGAAACUCUCAACUCAGCCCAGGUAUCCCAGCAGAAUCUUUCGAGCGGUUCCUCGUCAGGUUCCGGAGCACGGUCAUCGGGGUCGUCGGGCGUCUUCGCCUGGACGAGGGUCUUCCGGCUAGCCUCGAUGCUGCCGCAGAUCGGCUGCUAGUUCACGGCCUUGCGGAAGGUCGAAGCUGCAGCGCCUGCAGAGAAAAUAGAGGAUGCAUAGACGAUAAGAGACGAAUGCGUUGCUAGAACGCGAACUCUAGCAGCUAGCACGUAUCACUAUAAUAUUCUUAUAGAGAGGAGUUUGCGGUUUAAUUCGUAUACGUACCGCGGCUGCAGUGAUUUAAGGCUAGACUUUAAACCGUUACCAAACCUCUUGUUAUAUCGUAUAAGUUUCAGAUACUUUAUCGAGUCAUUUUCUGCUAUUUAAUACGUCGUAGAACGAUCGUUUGCCGUCGGGACUCGCGUUCGCAGAUCCAAUCUAAGGAACCGUUCGUACGGAUGAACGAAUUUACGGGUUCGUCUGAUCCGACGACUAGCUGCGAGUCUGGAAUUAGCGAUGCUGGGGUGAAAUCAUGGAUCAGCUCGCAUCGAACAUAUCCGAACAAUUGAGUAAUAAAGGCACCAGUUAUUUUCGCCGCUUGUUUUUUUUUAUGUUAUAUUCUUUUAAUUUUUUUUAUUUCUCAUUUGCGUCUUAUCGAUUUACAUCUUACAUCCCACGCGCUCGGUACGAUCAAAGGCUGUGUUAAUGCACUGUUAUGUAGAAUUAAUGAGGGCUUCUGCGCAAACGUAUCCACACAUUCUCGCUAAUUUUAUCGCAACAUGAAUGGGUCGAUCCGCAAACGAGCCACUUGGUUUGUUCAGAAUCAUCUGCGUGGCAUUUAUAACUUACAGUCAAUACUUCAACGAUGCUUUUCACUAGUCAAUCACGAUUGCGUUUCGGGCAAACGAUAAGUCGAAAGUUUUUUGCCUCAUUUUUUGGGAGUUACUGAGCAGGUCGGAUCGAUUUGUGGAAAUAAAAGGUAUAAGAUACGUGCGGAAUAAUGGUGCUUUUGGGAGCGAUGAUUUAGAUUCCCAAUGUCUUAAUUAGUUUUUAAUUGAAACGCGAUUUGUUUAUCGAAAUUGUUAUACCGAGCGAGAAACGUGGGUGUUGCUACAAUCAUCCUAAUGCGAUGCGCAAUUGAACCUUAAAUUUGUAAUCUAAAUUCAUGGAAAUACUUUCGAUUGAAAAUAAUUUAGCUCGAAUGCACGCACGCGAUAAUUUAAUACGAAAUUAUUCAGUACACUGGUAGUGCGUAGAUUGAAGUAUUAUUCAAAAGCCGCAAAUUAUGCUUGCACAUAACUUUGCAGAUCACGUUUGGCUGAAAAAUAUACGUAAGAAUAAAUUUCGUAGCACGAAUUUUACUGACGAUCAAAAUUAUUCGUCGACUAACGCUGUGAGCUUCCUUUUCCUGGAAAGAAGUAUACGAUGCCGAAUUUUCUUGAAUAACCGUUAAACGUUGCUUUUGUUGUUUUUCGACUCCCGGGCAAGUUCUCCAAAAUCCCAAUAAAAUAAUUGUAUCAACAAAUUGGUGAACGGAUGCCCAGUUUGUUCCACGUUAGACAAUAUUUAGUUUUUAGAAAAAAUAAGAAAAAAUAUGAAUGUUAUUUAAUUACUGUUAUAUUAUAUAUUGUAUUAAAGAUUCUUACAUCAGACUACACGUACUCUUACUCUCACCAAAUAUGAACCACCGUAUACAUGUGUCUAACACGCAUGUGUACGUGUACGUACGACGGUACACAUAAACACGACACAGACACAAAUACGUAUAUACCCAUUAAUUUAAACGCUAUUAAGAUUUAAUAAUGUUAUAUCUCGUUAAUCAUCAUAUUCAUAUAUUUUACUAAUGUGUAAAAUCAAUCAAUAAACUAUUUACUUAUCA
Neodiprion virginianus is the source of this 2559-nucleotide long non-coding RNA. RefSeq lists it as uncharacterized. The transcript has 2 exons. The record is from RefSeq and is a predicted model, not a curated record. NCBI's taxonomy places the organism in Eukaryota, Metazoa, Arthropoda, Insecta, Hymenoptera, Diprionidae.